RNAcentral lists this ribosomal RNA (656 nucleotides) under uncultured archaeon. RNAcentral describes it as "bacterial SSU rRNA". It matches the Rfam family "Archaeal small subunit ribosomal RNA", at positions 221 to 879 of the family's 1478-position model. The record is from RNAcentral.
CCGNUCAGGUAGNUGGGCGANGCNACGGCUCACCNAGCCNAUANCCGGUACGGGCCGUGGGAGCGGAGCNNGGAGAUGGNUACUGAGACAAGGGCCCAGGCCCUACGGGGCGCAGCAGUUGCGAAAACUUGUCAAUGCACGAAAGUGUGAACGGGCUACCCCGAGUGCNGUCCGCUGAGGAUGGCUUUUCUCUGCUGUAAGAAGGCGGAGGNAUAAGGAGAGGGCAAGUCUGGUGUCAGCCGCCGCGGUAAUACCAGCUCUCCGAGUGGUAGGGAUGAUUAUUGGGCCUAAAGCGUUCGUAGCCGGCCUUCCAAGUCUUUCGUUAAAUCCAGCGAUUCAAUCGUUGGACUGCGGGAGAUACUGUUAGGCUAGGGGGCGGGAGAAGCCGACGGUAUUUCCGGGGUAGGGGUAAAAUCCUAUAAUCCCGGGAAGACCACCAGUGGCGUAGGCGGUCGGCUAGCACGCGCUCGACGGUGAGGGACGAAAGCUGGGGGAGCGAACCGGAUUAGAUACCCGGGUAGUCCCAGCUGUAAACGAUGCGGGCUAGGUGUUGGAGCGGCUACGAGCCGCUUCAGUGCCGCAGGGAAGCCAUUAAGCCCGCCGCCUGGGGAGUACGGCCGCAAGGCUGAAACUUAAAGGAAUUGGCGGGGGAGCAC